GAAUAAACUAAAAACAAACUAAAUUUUAAGCAAAAGGACAAUAUUUACAAGGGGAGGGCACAUAAUUGGUCAAACCUUUUUGUUUGGUUGUUUAUGUGUAGAAUAAAGAAUCCUGUUGUCAUUUGAAAACAUCUGACUUCAAUUUUGGUGAUAUUCAUGUUUUCAAAUCUCAACAAUCAAGUUAUGAAUGUCAAGCUUUUCAAAUCGGUUUUGGGUUCUUGUUUUGAAUGAAUCCAUUUUUUAUAUAUAUCCAACACUUCACUGCCUCAGUACAUUACAUGUCAUUUAGCUGACGCUUUUAUCCAAAGCGACUUACAAUAAGUGCAUUCAACCUUUGGGUACAAACUCAGGAGAACAAAAAACUGCAAUUUCCUCAAAUAAUACAAUUUACAAUUUGCUAUUGAUAAGAGCCGUUAUAAGUAAAAUUUAAGUGCUACAAUUUGGAGCGUAGAGUCUGAAGAGGUGUGUCUUUAGUUUGCGGUGGAAGAUGUGAAGGCUCUCUGCGGUCCUGGUAUGAAGGGAGGUGUGGUCUCCCCCUGUUCAUCCCCCGAAGGGUGUGGCUGGAACAGCUGACGGCAAGCAGCCAUCAGGGGACUCUCCUACAUCAACCCGGGUCUUCCUGCCAUUGAGCGCCAGAUCGUUCCGUCGUCAGAGUGUGCUCCAGGAUCCCUACCUGCCUGCUGGCGGCCUCUCCGAGGCCAGUCCCCCCUCCAGUCUCGACCCUGCCCUGUGCACCUUUUUAUGUGUAUAUGUCUGAAUAAACACAUUAUUUUCCAGUCGGAA
Molecule: long non-coding RNA, 783 nt
Organism: Gasterosteus aculeatus aculeatus (three-spined stickleback)
Lineage: Eukaryota; Metazoa; Chordata; Actinopteri; Perciformes; Gasterosteidae
Source: Ensembl